GACGAAACGCUGGCGGCGCGCCUAACACAUGCAAGUCGAACGGAGUUAUUCUGAAUGAAGUUUUCGGAUGGAUUUUGGAUUAACUUAGUGGCGAAACGGGUGAGUAACGCGUGAGUAACCUGCCCUGGAGUGGGGGACAACAGUUGGAAACGACUGCUAAUACCGCAUAAGCCCACGGUGCCGCACGGUACAGCGGGAAAAGGAUUUAUUCGCUUCAGGAUGGACUCGCGUCCAAUUAGCUAGUUGGUGAGGUAACGGCCCACCAAGGCGACGAUUGGUAGCCGGACUGAGAGGUUGAACGGCCACAUUGGGACUGAGACACGGCCCAGACUCCUACGGGAGGCAGCAGUGGGGGAUAUUGCACAAUGGGGGAAACCCUGAUGCAGCGACGCCGCGUGGAGGAAGAAGGUUUUCGGAAUUGUAAACUCCUGUCGUUAGGGACGAUAAUGACGGUACCUAACAAGAAAGCACCCGGCUAACUACGUGCCAGCAGCCGCCGCAGUAAC
This 506-nucleotide ribosomal RNA is filed under the name uncultured bacterium. Its description in RNAcentral is "bacterial SSU rRNA". It matches the Rfam family "Bacterial small subunit ribosomal RNA", at positions 32 to 526 of the family's 1533-position model. The record is from RNAcentral.